This 253-nucleotide ribosomal RNA is filed under the name uncultured bacterium. Its description in RNAcentral is "partial 16S ribosomal RNA". It matches the Rfam family "Bacterial small subunit ribosomal RNA", at positions 524 to 776 of the family's 1533-position model. The record is from RNAcentral.
UACAGAGGUCCCGAGCGUUGUUCGGAUUCACUGGGCGUAAAGGGUGCGCAGGUGGCCAGGCAAGUCGGAUGUGAAAGCUCCGGGCUCAACCCGGAAAUGGCAUUGGAAACUGCCUGGCUGGAGGUUUGGAGGGGGGACUGGAAUUCUCGGUGUAGCAGUGAAAUGCGUAGAGAUCGAGAGGAACACCAGUGGCGAAGGCGAGUCCCUGGACAACACCUGACACUGAGGCACGAAAGCCAGGGGAGCAAACGGG